This is an RNA transcript of Musa acuminata AAA Group (dessert banana), 3124 nucleotides long. It is a transcript of the gene named type IV inositol polyphosphate 5-phosphatase 7-like, with no coding region annotated. The transcript has 14 exons. The record is from RefSeq and is a predicted model, not a curated record. Lineage: Eukaryota; Viridiplantae; Streptophyta; Magnoliopsida; Zingiberales; Musaceae.
AGAAGUGGGAGAGAGAGAGAGAGAGAGAGGGAGGUAAUCUAAAAGCGCAAUGCUCGCACUUUAUUCCCUUCGCUUCAAAUUGGAUACUUUGCUGUACUCCGAGAAGGAGGUUGAGGAGGAGAAAGAGUGGUGUCUGUGAAUGUCCGCUUCAUUGCGUCCCCCAUUCUCCAUCGCUCUCUUCUUCUUCCGUCUAGUGCCGAGAUUGGUGUUUCUGUUUCCAAAGUCUGAUCUUUAUUGCUCCGAGGCUAUAGAUUGAAGUCCCAUUGGCGAAAGGAGAAGUUUUUCCUUUCUUUUGAGCUUUGGUUUGGAGUGGAUGGUCAGCUCCUGCUCACUUGUUGUGUUCUGCGAUGUACCCUGGAAUGGUGUACCUUCCUCGAGGGUGCUAACCGGUUCUCUUGUUUCUGCGGCUUCUUAGUUUUCCGAUCCAUCUCUGUGGGAAGAAGUUUGGAAUCGAUCUUUUUGUCAAAUAGCACUCGAGAAAAAGGUCGGCAUUUGCUGUUCUCCUCGUUGGGAUCCAAAUCAGGGCGAGACUCCUGAAAGCGUAUAGGUGGGGAGAGAAACCAUCUCCCGGUGGCUGCAUGAGGGAGUGCUGAAACAAUGAGAGAUGAGAACUCGAUAAAAACCAAGCUAUCAUGGUCCAAGACGCUUGUUAGAAAAUGGUUCAACAUCAAGAGCAAACCUCAGGACUUCCAUGCAGACGAUGAUGUUGUUGUUGAAAGAGAAGGUGAUGGGGAAUGGCGGACCAACUUCACAGAGAGGGAGACAUGCACAGUUAAGAAAAGCAGAACAGAACGAUUGAACAAAAAAAAUUCAGAACGAGUUCGGCGAGGAAGAUUUGAUGUUGAUGUGGAUCAAGUUGCAGAUGUUGAGGACUAUAAAAUUUUUGUCUCGACAUGGAAUGUAGGUGGGAAAUCUCCACCAAAAAAUUUGAAUCUUGAAGAAUGGAUCCAUGCUUCACCGCCGGCAGACAUUUACGUUCUGGGAUUUCAAGAGAUUGUUCCUCUCAAUGCUGGAAAUGUUCUUGGUGCAGAAGACAAUGUUCCAGCAAAGAAAUGGUUGUCACUCAUUAGAAAGACACUGAACACUCUUCCGGGCAGUUGUAGUUCCGGCAACUACAGUAUACUGUCCCCUCUUCCCGAUCCGCUUGUGGAGCUAGAUGCUGAUUUUGAGGGCUCCUCAACGAGGCAAAAGAAUUCAUCAUUGCUUCACCGACGUUCAUUCCAUUCCAUGAGUCGCAGUUUAAGAAUUGAUGGUGAUAUCAUGGCAAUGCAACCAAGGCUGGAUCGCCGGUUCAGUGUUUGUGAUCGGACAAGCAUUGCAAGCAGACCAAGUAAUUUUGAUCCCAGUUUUAGAUGUGGAGGUUCAUCUGAUGAUGAGAAACUUGGGGGAGAAUCUCCUUCGACAGAUAUUUUUUCACCAAUGUCUUAUGUCUAUGGUGCUCCACAAUAUUUGGAAGAAAGGGAGAGAUCAUCCCUCCGCUCUAAUUCCAGGUAUUGCUUGGUUGCAAGUAAGCAGAUGGUUGGCAUAUUUCUAACAAUUUGGGUGAGAAGUGAAAUAAGAGGUGAUGUGAAGAACUUGAAGGUUUCCUGUGUUGGCAGAGGAUUAAUGGGUUAUCUUGGCAAUAAGGGUUCAAUAUCAAUCAGCAUGUCUUUUCACCGAACAAGCUUCUGUUUCAUCUGUAGUCAUUUGACCUCGGGACAGAAAGAGGGGGAUGAACUACGGAGGAACUCAGAUGUGAUGGAAAUUUUAAGAAAGACUAGGUUUCCUCGGGUGCACAGAGUAUGUGAUGAGAAGUCUCCUGAAACAAUUCUUGAUCAUGAUCGUAUCAUAUGGCUUGGUGAUUUAAACUACCGCAUCGCUCUUUCCUAUCAGUCAGCAAAGGCUUUAGUUGAGAUGCACAACUGGAGAGCUUUGUUGGAAAAAGAUCAGCUUCGAAUAGAGCGAAGAUGUGGCCGUGUUUUCGAGGGAUGGAAAGAAGGAAGGAUAUUUUUUCCUCCAACCUAUAAAUAUUCAAAUAACUCAGAUAGAUACGCAGGGGAUGACACACACCGAAAAGAGAAGCGGCGGACACCUGCAUGGUGUGACCGCAUUUUAUGGUGUGGAAGAGGCCUUACUCAAUUGGCUUAUCUACAUGGAGAGUCUAGAUUCUCUGAUCACAGACCUGUAUACAGCAUUUUCACUGCAGAGGUAGAAAUUACCAAUCACAACCAAAUUACGAACAUGGGUUGCUCUAGCUCUCGGAUUGAGGUGGAAGAACUCUUGCCCUACUCACAUGGUUUCACAGAGUUCAGUUUCUACUGAGGUGGCUGAAGAAAAUCAAACAGAAUCGAGGUUGUUCUAUGUCUUUUGCCAAUAAUUAGCUUCUAAAUCUUUUAGUCUCAGCAACUACCAAAGGAAGAGCAACCACCAGGGAACAAUCACAUCAUAGAAGUUACCUAAAGGGAAAAAAAAGUAUUUUGUGGCUGAACAACCAGUCAAGAGACAAGUCCAAGAACUUCUUUCUGUAAUAAUUGGCAACUAACAUUACAAACUAACCAGCUUACUUCACCUUUGAAAAGCAAGCAGUUUGACAGUUCAGUAGGUUGAUCAAAGGAAGAUGCCCAAACAAAGGGAACUAUUUAAGUCUACCAAAGGACUCCUGGGGAACUUGGGACCACCCUAGAACUGCCAAAUGGGUGUUAGCAUACUUCAAAUUUUGAUUUGUAAUUGUUCUGACACAGAGUGUAAGGAAUUUUUUUUUGUAGAGUGAGAGGAUUGAGUCAAACAACUGUGUAAACAGUACUUUCUGUUUUAUAUGGUGAAAAAGGGAAGCUGAGUUCAGAAUGCACCCAAAUGCAACACUGAUAAAGGAGUGUAGCUACUAUAUGUUCAGUAGGCAUGAAAUAUAUUGUGUUACUGAAAAAAGUUCUUGUCAUUGUUAAUCUGGUUUAUACAAAUUACUUUUUUUUUUUUUUUUUUGUGAGAUUGUAGAAAAGCAUGAACAUGACAGAUAUGGUUGGCAGACUUGGGGACAUGAACUUCGGAGACCUAAAAAAUAGUCCCGAGGGAUUAGGAUGUGUGUACAUAUUUAUUUUGGAGAUGCCUUUUUGAUUUGGCCUUUGGAUGAUUGAAAGAUCCAAGUGGG